CUCUCGGCAAUGGAUAUCUCGGCUCUUGCAUCGAUGAAGAACGUAGUGAAAUGCGAUACUUGGUGUGAAUUGCAGAAUCUCGUGAACCAUUGAGUCUUUGAACGCAAGUUGUGCCCGAGGCCUUGUGGUCGAGGGCACGCCUGCUUGGGUGUCAUGAC
RNAcentral lists this ribosomal RNA (158 nucleotides) under Curcuma bhatii. RNAcentral describes it as "5.8S ribosomal RNA". It matches the Rfam family "5.8S ribosomal RNA". From Rfam's summary of the family: 5.8S ribosomal RNA (5.8S rRNA) is a component of the large subunit of the eukaryotic ribosome. It is transcribed by RNA polymerase I as part of the 45S precursor that also contains 18S and 28S rRNA. Lineage: Eukaryota; Viridiplantae; Streptophyta; Magnoliopsida; Zingiberales; Zingiberaceae. The record is from RNAcentral. RNAcentral also lists the same sequence under 1 other name.